AGCCCGACUGCGGGGCCCAGGCUCUGCUCUGCAGGGGAGGGGGAGGACCCUUGGGCACAAUCUGGGGAGAGCCCCAGGCAGGACAGGGCCUGCUAGGGUCACGAUCAACCAAACAGAAUGUCAGCCACAGAGCUGCCCGUCCGUCUAGCCUUAGAACUUUGGUCUGGAUUUUUGGCCAGCUUGUCAGCCAGGUGACCUGCAUAUUUACAAGCAUUCCCCUCCUUGCCAGCAAUGAAGAUAACGUUGCCAGGCCCCGUACGCAGCAACGAAACCUGCUUUUUGUGUAAGGUGCAAGCUAAACCUGUCACAGGUAUCAUGCCCUGUAAGCUGCUGUACAAACGCCCUCGGCAGCUGGACCCACCCGCAGGCGAGUGGGCGAGGCUCAGAGCAGCCUCUGUUCCUGUCAGUCUUCCUGCCAAGUUCAGGACACGGGUCCCAUGGGACAGAUUUCCCCUCAGGGUUUCAGCACCCUAUUGGAAACUGAAGCAUUCGAUUCAGAAGUCCUUCUUCACUGAUCCCUAACUUUGAAAGGUAUAGUUAAAAAAACUACUUAUCCCCCCAAAGUCCCCCGUGUGGUGGAGACGUCAUUUUCGACUGCCAGUGGGGACCUGAGCACGUGGCUCAUGGUGAGAAGCAGCUAGAAGAAACCGAAUCAAACACAGGAGCAGACUUAGGGCAGCCCAGCACCAACCCCAGGGGCUGCUCUGGCCCCACAGGGACCCAGCAGCACUGGAUUGUGG
RNAcentral lists this long non-coding RNA (740 nucleotides) under Marmota monax (woodchuck). The record is from RNAcentral. Lineage: Eukaryota; Metazoa; Chordata; Mammalia; Rodentia; Sciuridae.